Molecule: ribosomal RNA, 274 nt
Filed under: uncultured bacterium
Lineage: Bacteria
Description: partial 16S ribosomal RNA
Rfam family: Bacterial small subunit ribosomal RNA
Source: RNAcentral
AUACGGAGGGUGCAAGCGUUAUUCGGAAUCACUGGGCGUAAAGGACGCGUAGGCGGGUUGGCAAGUCAGAUGUGAAAUCCUACAGCUUAACUGUAGAACUGCAUUUGAAACUGCUAACCUAGAGUAUGGGAGGGGGAGAUGGAAUUAGUGGUGUAGGGGUAAAAUCCGUAGAUAUCACUAGGAAUACCGAAAGCGAAGGCGAUCUCCUGGGACAUAACUGACGCUAAGGCGUGAAAGCGUGGGGAGCAAACAGGAUUAGAAACCCUAGUAGUCC